AGGGUUUGAUUCGGCUCAGGAUGAACGCUGGCGGCGUGCUUAGCACAUGCAAGUCGAGCGAAGCGAUUUAAGUGAAGUUUUCGGAUGGAUCUUAAAUUGACUGAGCGGCGGACGGGUGAGUAACGCGUGGAUAACCUGCCUCACACAGGGGGAUAACAGUUAGAAAUGACUGCUAAUACCGCAUAAGACCACAGCACCGCAUGGUGCAGGGGUAAAAACUCCGGUGGUACAGGAUGGACCCGCGUCUGAUUAGCUGGUUGGUGAGGUAACGGCUCACCAAGGCGACGAUCAGUAGCCGGCUUGAGAGAGUGAACGGCCACAUUGGGACUGAGACACGGCCCAA
Molecule: ribosomal RNA, 343 nt
Filed under: uncultured bacterium
Lineage: Bacteria
Description: bacterial SSU rRNA
Rfam family: Bacterial small subunit ribosomal RNA
Source: RNAcentral